Molecule: RNA transcript, 1409 nt
Organism: Ictalurus furcatus (blue catfish)
Lineage: Eukaryota; Metazoa; Chordata; Actinopteri; Siluriformes; Ictaluridae
Gene: rfxap
Gene name: regulatory factor X-associated protein
Exons: 4
Source: RefSeq, a predicted model, not a curated record
CAAUAGCAACUAAUUUGCCUGUUGUUGCUGCAAACCUCAUACAUGUAAACUGCGCCGACUCUAUUUGUACACGUUCUUUUUAAAAUCCUCAAUCAGUGAGGAUUAUUUUUUUAAAAUCUAUAUGUGUAUAUAUAAUAACUGAGCUUCUCAGUAAACAUUCGGCGACGUGCUGUGUCCUGUUAGCCCGUAGAGCUUCAUGCUAGCCGCUAGCCGUCAGUGCAGCGCUUCUGACUUUCUUCAGGUUAUUUAUAAAGCAGAACACAACAUGAGUGAGAACGACAGCGCAAACCAUGAGGCCACUGCUAGUAAAGAAGGCCAGAUGUUUCUCUCCGGGAACAAAAGCACAAGUGUAAACAGUUCCCCUCCGCAGGGAGACUCUGUGUUUGACAUGGACGACCCGGAGGAGGAAGAGGAGAGCGACGCGCUGGACACAGCCGAGGCGAGAGAGAGCGCGCCGAGCCCGGCCGAGCCAUGCGACGAGAGCGCGCCUAAGCGCUGCGUUUACGACGGCUGCUCCGAGACUAGCGCUCAGGGUGCCAAGCAGAGGAAACCGUGGAUGUGUAAAAAACACCGCAACAAAAUGUAUAAGGACAAGUACAAGAAGAAGAAGAGCGACCAGGCCAUGGCGUCUGGGAAAUUAGAAGAAGGCUCAGAGGAGAGGCCUGUGUCUGUGACAAAGCAGCGGCUCGGCGCUAUUGGAGAGCGACCUACAAGACCUUCACUCAUAGAGCAAGUGUUAAACCAAAAGAGGCUGAAUGUCUGAUGAGGUUGGAGAAUACAUGGCAAGGGAUCUGAGACCAUUCCUCCAUACAGAAUCUCUCCAGAUCCUUCAAAUUUCGAGCUCCACGCUGGUGGACUCUCCUCUUCAGUUCACCCCACAGGUUUUCUAUGGGUUUCAAGUCAGGGGACUGGGAUGUCCGUGGCAGGAUCUUGAUUUUGUGUCUCUCUUGCGGAGUCCAGAGGUCAUCAGUUUUCUCCAGCAGCAACAGCGUCUUCUCACCAUGCAGACACAAUCUCAGAGACAUGACCAGCAAAGCUACUGAGCACCGUGUGUGCUGACAUUUUACUGGGGAUUGUACACACCGUACAAGUACUUUAAGAAGAGCUUAUUAAGCUUAAGAAAGCAUGAAGGAUUUGGACUUGAUGUUACACUGUAGUCUCCACUGUGGUGUGAGGUCGCACAUUUCAUCACAGCCUGGAUGAGCUAUCAUGAUUUUUAGUAGCAGUUCUACUGUAUAUAAAAUAAUUUUUAAGCUACCACUUGGGCCUUUAUAACAUGCUGUUAUUUUAUGCAUUAUAAUGCAUUUGUCAUUUUAAAACAAUUAUGUGAAAGCAGCUACAUAGUAUCACUAGUAGGUGAUUCUAGUGAUUUUUGUCUGUUCAUAGAAAUGAAAUUUUUUUUAACCAUU